RNAcentral lists this ribosomal RNA (793 nucleotides) under uncultured bacterium. RNAcentral's name for it is "bacterial SSU rRNA". It matches the Rfam family "Bacterial small subunit ribosomal RNA", at positions 8 to 814 of the family's 1533-position model. The record is from RNAcentral.
AGAGUUUGAUCCUGGCUCAGGACGAACGCUGGCGGCGCGCCUAACACAUGCAAGUCGAACGGAGCAUUGAGAGCUUGCUUUUAAUGCUUAGUGGCGAACGGGUGAGUAACGCGUGAGUAACCUGCCCUGGAGUGGGGGACAACAGUUGGAAACGACUGCUAAUACCGCAUAAGCCCACGAUCCGGCAUCGGAUUGAGGGAAAAGGAUUUAUUCGCUUCAGGAUGGACUCGCGUCCAAUUAGCUAGUUGGUGAGGUAACGGCCCACCAAGGCGACGAUUGGUAGCCGGACUGAGAGGUUGAACGGCCACAUUGGGACUGAGACACGGCCCAGACUCCUACGGGAGGCAGCAGUGGGGGAUAUUGCACAAUGGGGGAAACCCUGAUGCAGCGACGCCGCGUGGAGGAAGAAGGUUUUCGGAUUGUAAACUCCUGUCGUUAGGGACGAUAAUGACGGUACCUAACAAGAAAGCACCGGCUAACUACGUGCCAGCAGCCGCGGUAAAACGUAGGGUGCAAGCGUUGUCCGGAAUUACUGGGUGUAAAGGGAGCGCAGGCGGACCGGCAAGUUGGAAGUGAAAACUAUGGGCUCAACCCAUAAAUUGCUUUCAAAACUGCUGGCCUUGAGUAGUGCAGAGGUAGGUGGAAUUCCCGGUGUAGCGGUGGAAUGCGUAGAUAUCGGGAGGAACACCAGUGGCGAAGGCGACCUACUGGGCACCAACUGACGCUGAGGCUCGAAAGCAUGGGUAGCAAACAGGAUUAGAUACCCUGGUAGUCCAUGCCGUAAACGAUGAUU